RNAcentral lists this small nuclear RNA (21 nucleotides) under Arabidopsis thaliana (thale cress). RNAcentral describes it as "snRNA_18853". Lineage: Eukaryota; Viridiplantae; Streptophyta; Magnoliopsida; Brassicales; Brassicaceae. The record is from RNAcentral.
ACUGUUAGGCAACCAGUCUCU